RNAcentral lists this ribosomal RNA (448 nucleotides) under uncultured bacterium. RNAcentral's name for it is "bacterial SSU rRNA". It matches the Rfam family "Bacterial small subunit ribosomal RNA", at positions 329 to 794 of the family's 1533-position model. The record is from RNAcentral.
CCCCAGACUCCUACGGGAGGCAGCAGUGGGGGAUAUUGCACAAUGGGGGGAACCCUGAUGCAGCGACGCCGCGUGGGUGAAGAAGCGCCUCGGCGCGUAAAGCCCUGUCAGCAGGGAAGAAAAUGACGGUACCUGAAGAAGAAGCCCCGGCUAACUACGUGCCAGCAGCCGCGGUAAUACGUAGGGGGCAAGCGUUGUCCGGAUUUACUGGGUGUAAAGGGCGUGUAGCCGGGCUUACAAGUCAGAUGUGAAAUCCGGGGGCUCAACCCCCGAACUGCAUUUGAAACUGUUUCCCUUGAGUGUCGGAGAGGUAAUCGGAAUUCCUUGUGUAGCGGUGAAAUGCGUAGAUAUAAGGAAGAACACCAGUGGCGAAGGCGGAUUACUGGACGAUAACUGACGGUGAGGCGCGAAAGCGUGGGGAGCAAACAGGAUUAGAUACCCGGGUAAA